This is a long non-coding RNA of Anser brachyrhynchus (Pink-footed goose), 1780 nucleotides long. Lineage: Eukaryota; Metazoa; Chordata; Aves; Anseriformes; Anatidae. The record is from Ensembl.
AUGCCGGUCAGAAAGAAAUUUAUGAAUUGUUGGAAAAAUAAUUCUAAUGUGAUGUCUCUACCGCUUAGUACCAUAAUUCUGCUCAUAGUUGAAGAAAUAAUGGAGACUGAAUUUAAAUGCCCUCGAUGGACAGCAUUAAAGAAGUUUUACGUUUUUACCUAUUUUUUGUGUCCAGCUUUAAUUACAUGUGCCCUGAGCUUUGCGUCCCAGCCCACCUGCAUUCUCUGGUUUCGCAGCUUUCGGAAAUGUUCGUACCGACAGAAGGGUGAGAUGCUUUGCAUGGUAGUUCUUCCUCCUGUGAUCUGGUGGGUUAUCCUGCUGUGGGACGGCAGAUACGUUGAAUGUAUGGUUUCAAGAAGUGAAGUGGACAGCAACCAAAAUGCAAACCAAACCAGAGCAGCAGAAUCAAGCAUUGAAACCUAUUCAAUUUCUCAGGUUGCAGGACUCUGCAUUCUUACCUUUACCGUCAUUGUUUAUAGCCUGUUCCACACUUAUCCCUUCUGGUGCUGCUGUAAAGAUGAAGAGGAAUGUGCGAAAGAGGAGCUGGAGAACAUUUUAGAAGAAAAAACAUGGCAAUGUGUUCAAGAAUUGCAGAAUGAAAGUACAGAGCAGAUAAUGGAACAGGAAGUGAAACCUCUUCUCCAGAAUGUUCCUAAAAACUUCUGGAGAGAUGUAGAUUUUAAAACAAUAAUAUUAACAGUAAAGAAGAUUUUAAGGAAUGUGGUUAGCCAUAUAAAUAUUGAGACACAACAACCAAUGAGACCAUGUGCUUACAUUUAAAACGUGCCUCCAUCAUCAGGCCCUGCUGUGCACCGGUCCUGCAUUUGGCUGGGACAGAGUUAAUUUUCUUCCUGGCAUCCGAGAUGUUUCUGUGUUUUGGGUUUAGGGUGAGAAUAAUGCUGAUAGCACACCGAUGUUCGAGCUGCUGCAGAGCAGUGCUUACACCGAGCCAAGGACUUUUCAGCUUCUCACACUGCCCUACCAAUGGGGAGGUUGGGGUGCACAAGCAGCUUUGUGCAUCGCUUUAUUGAUAUAUUCUUUUAUUAGGCUGAUGAUGGUUAUUUUCCCUUCCUUUCCUGUCCUAUUAAACUGUCUUUAUCUCAAACCAUGUUUUUUUUAAAUAUGUUUUUUUUCUUUUGUGUGUGUAUGAAUGUGUUUCUCUUCCGCAUCUCACUGGCUUGGGGGAGACAGGGGUGAAGGGGAGGGGACAAAUGAACAACUGUGUGUUGCUUAGCUGGCUGCUGCGUUAAACCACAGGACAAAGUCAGAGAUGUUUACCCUUCAUGUAAUCAAAACCACCUCUUCAGUGCACACACCUAUUGGCACACACAUGCGAGCACAUCCCCGCAGCCAUACUUGUCCCUGUAGGUCCAAAUGUGCAUCCGUGCGGGUGGAUAGAAGAGCACCCCUGUGUCUUUAUCGCGCAGUUUAGGUAUACACGUCUUCCACCGAGCACAGGGAGAUGUUUUCACUCGGUAAAGAAACAUCGAUACGCUCACAGUAUGAUUUGGUAUACCUGAUUUAUUUCAGAGGUCGUAAGGUAUUGUAAAUAGAGGUGUGAGUCCUACCUCCUCUUGGCUAGACACACACAGCCCUUCCCUGUGACAGCAAACCCCAAAGAAGCCCAAAGUGCAUUGCCCAGACCCAUGUUACGGCUGCAGGAGCCCUCUGCAAGAGAGCAAAGGCAGCCGUGGGCAAGGCUCCUGUGCCCUUGCCCUGUGGCAGCGCUAUCGGGUCUGGGUGCGGGUCACCGUGGCAUACGUCGUGGUGUCGCUCAUCU